RNAcentral lists this ribosomal RNA (147 nucleotides) under Triticum aestivum (bread wheat). RNAcentral describes it as "partial small subunit ribosomal RNA". The record is from RNAcentral. Lineage: Eukaryota; Viridiplantae; Streptophyta; Magnoliopsida; Poales; Poaceae.
AAAGAGGGGAAGCAGAACCAAGUCAAGAUGAUAUGGGUCGCCCCUUCUUCUUGCGCCAAAGAUCUUACCAUUUCCGAAGGAACUAGGGCUACAUUUUUUUUCAAUUUCCAUUCAAGAGUUUCUACUGUUUCCACGCCCUUUUCUUGA